GUGACGUUGGCAGAAGGAACGUGACAUGAUUGUAUUGUUGUUUGGGUUCGUUGACUACUGCGCACCUUGCGACGCCACACCAUUGACGUUGCUGAAGCGGUAGCUGCGUCGUAAUUUUCGAACUUGGGGGCCAUCAAAGCACAUACGCACAAAGUAGCUAUAGCAGUUCAUAAUUCAGCAGAAAUCCGCGUCAGUGCACUUGCACCGCAAAAGGAGCUGUUCCAACUUUCAGCUGUUCAACCAGAGACCUCUUCAAACUGGUGUACACGUAAUACAGCUAGCUAUCUAUUAAAAUAUGCAGACUACUAGUAGCUAGACUACGGUACGUAUAGUCACGUAGACAUAGAUUAACUUUUUAGUUCUUCAGGAACAUUGCAUGGGCUUACACGUAAUCUAUACCUUACAUUGUAUAUCUAUAGUAAACAUGCUUUCUAAGUAUAAAGUUUAUAAUAAACUCUGUCAAGCAUUUUUGCUGUUCUGCUGAAUACUGGCAGACAGACUGUGCUGUCUCUUUAUCUUUUGUAUUUGCUUCGGCGUCACAUACCUACUAACAGAAGGAGUUGUUUGAGUUGAUCUCCUACUAUUAAACACACUGGGGCGGCCAGGUUUGCAGGAACAGAGCUUGAAUUUUUCAUGUGUUUUUGUCUGCUGAGGGCUGUAGGCUGCACCCGAAUUCUUUGCCUGUGCUUUGUUAUCCCUGUAUGACUGCCAAAAGUGUGUAAUGCUGAAACCAAACGCUGCUGCUUGGUCGGUGGAUGUGUUGAUUUUCCUCGACAUUUCCAGUAGUUUUCACAAAACUUUUUAACAGCUGUCAGAUACCCAUCAUUAUUUGUCAUGUUGGGGGCAAGUCCAGUUUCUAGGUCAACCAUGACUUCAUUGAGACUUGUUUUGACUGUCUCGAUUGUCUGAUUCUUGUCUUCACCACUACUGGGUAUUUCAGUCUCCUUCAUGGUUGUUUUCUGCCUUUUCUGUUGGAACAGAUCAUCGUCCAGCAUGGCUGAUUCUUUGAAAGAAUGCCGUAUGUCUUCAUUAUGCCAUUGAAUAUCAACAGAGAGGGACUGCAAGUACUCUUCAUCUGACUUUUGGUGAAGACUGCUAUAGAAGCUAAUGGGUUGGCAAUCUUUUCCAAGAGCUACGCCUGCAAGGAGCUGGCGUCCUUUUGGGGAAUCAGUUGGAAUCUUGUUGAAUCUUUGGGGAAUCAGUUGGAAACGACACAACCAGUUGUUGCUGUCAGACCGUCUGUUCGUGCUUCUACCAACUUGGUUCAAGCACAGGACACGAAGACGCCAAAUUUUCUUGGAGUUGUAAAGGAAGGGAUGACGUCUCUAUCAGCCCAGUCAGACAACAAAGGAACAUCAAAUUUGACUGUUAGUGGGCAGAUACUCACACCAACAAAACCGAUAGAUUUGUUCUGCAAAAGGGAGGUAGGCAUCAACAGAGAACUAUUGAUCUUCUGAACAGACGAGACUGUGCUGCAUUUGACUCCCCAAAUGUCAAUACAGAAAGAGGAAUGAUCGUCAACGUUCCUGUAACGACCCAGUUCAGUUUCCCACACACAAGCACGAUGAUGCCUAGCAAGUCAGCUUGUAGAAACCUAUCUAGCCAACUUCCGGGAACUACUGAGUCAUCACCAGACAAAUCAAGACAACACCUACGCUGCAGGCUUCCUUUCUGGAAUUUACGACAAUCACGGGAUUCAUGAGUUUGCAGCAAUGCAUGAAGCCAAAGAAAUUGCAUUUCAGGUACUGACUAUUAGUCAUAGAAGCUGGGAUAGUGGUGUACCAGUUUAAUUUAUUGUUUACCAAGUUUUAAAAGUACAUAUAGUCUGCUACUUAGAACAUUGCAUCGGUUUCUGUACGGUUGAGGAAAUGAAUGGUGUAGGGAGGGUACUGUAGAUACAUGUAGGUACAUUUGUGUGUCAAAACCUGAUACUCUUAGAGUCUAUGUCAUCAUCUAUUUGAUAGCUGUACAACAGAAACUUCAACAGCUACU
Corticium candelabrum is the source of this 1992-nucleotide long non-coding RNA. RefSeq lists it as uncharacterized. The transcript has 6 exons. NCBI's taxonomy places the organism in Eukaryota, Metazoa, Porifera, Homoscleromorpha, Homosclerophorida, Plakinidae. The record is from RefSeq and is a predicted model, not a curated record.